AGUGGUUUUCCAGCAACUCGUCCCCUGCCACGUAGAGCUACGAAGGACCAGCGGGUUUCUAAGUAACUUGAUCCUUGAUUUGAUAGGACCUUUUUGGGAGACCAGUUGGUUGAAACUAACUCCGUGUCCCUCUGACUCCAACUGUAAGAGAACUUUCCAUACCUUUCUCACUUAUUGAACCGUCAGCAGUGCUUUGUCUUUGCUGCAGCUCAUCUUCACAAACUUAUACUACCUAUCACGAAGAGCCACUGGAAUCAGCAGCUUAAUGUUCACAUACAUCCGGAGCAGCGACUACUGAUGAUGUAACAGCUUCUUGAAGUGCUGUCCCAAUUCAUAGGGGAAGAUUUGAAGGGGGCUUUGGCACUACCCCUCCAUCCACUUCAAAUGUAGAGAUGCCAUUCAGAUGUUUAAACCUCAUCAGGAACUGGAGCUGAAAAACUCAGGAGAAACUGCUCCUUUUCUGGCCAUUUGACAGCUGGUCUGCUGUUCUGUAAGUACAGUGAAGACGUGGAGCAAGCUGUUUUGCGGAAACAUCAUGAGGCAGCUUAAAGGCAAACCCAAGAAAGAAACAUCCAAGGAUAAGAAGGAGCCCUGAGCCCCCCCACACGAGGCAGUCACUGCACAUUUGGCCGAAACUCUCGCUGCAAGUCCGGAUUUGCAGUGUGGAAAAUGACGCCAUUGUCUCUGCCUGUAAGACGUACUAUGACGUACUAAGACGUACUAUGAGCCAGUAAGGAACUUCCGGUACAUCCAACCGGACCUCGCAGCUCUUGCAGCAGCAUUGAAAAGUUCAGGAGUCGACAGAGAAGAAAGAGGCUGAUUGAAGCGGGACAGAUGACAUGGAUCCAUCCUUCCACAGCCAGGAGCUCACCGACC
Molecule: long non-coding RNA, 876 nt
Organism: Hippoglossus stenolepis (Pacific halibut)
Lineage: Eukaryota; Metazoa; Chordata; Actinopteri; Pleuronectiformes; Pleuronectidae
Exons: 7
Source: RefSeq, a predicted model, not a curated record